CGGGUCCGCAGCAAAGUCAGUCCUCCCCUCCUCAGAAGAAAUAAGUCGACUGAGGGGCCUGAGACAGGAGAGACCGAGGUUUCACUGUUCCUAGCUAAAAUUCCAGGCUCUGUUGCAUCUUGUUAUGUUAAUAUGACACAGUUCUGGCUAAUAACAUGGAGAUGUAAGUCCCUGAGAGAAGGCUUCCUUUCAGAAAUUUGUCUUCAGAAAUAAAAAAGGCAGACCCCUGUGAAGGGCAAAGAAGAAAACUUUUGCUCUCAGAGACUAGAAGCAUGACAGAAAGCUACCCUUAGGUGAUUUGGACUGGUUUGAAGUGCAUGAAACAACAAACAGGAUGCCUAAACAUCCUUUAUUACAAACAGCUAUGAGAAUUUUGAGGCCAAGGAUAUGAUUGCAACAUCCUGCAGGUUCCAGGAUGCCUGAAAACAUGUAUAUGUGACAAGUUCCCAGGGUAUUUCCGUGCCCAUUCGAUGCAUGACACAGUUCUGAAUGCCAACCUGGUAGAAUUAAAAGUACCAGCAUCAUUUCCCUCGAGCAGAAAAAAAUGCUGCUGGAAGCCUUACUAAGUCAAUAAAUGGAACACAUUGUGACAAGAAACAUGAAAUGGGAUUUCCUGAAACACAACAACAUAAAGGCAAGCAAACAAAUGAAAAGUUUAUAAGAAACAAAUGCUAUGCAGCUUCUAUAGAAAAUGACAAUUUCAUAUGCAAGGUUAUUAAGAGAUACACAUGCAAAUUUGGGCUAGUUUUUGAUGCUGUGCCUUUAUUUAUACUUAGAAUUUGAUAUAAUUUUUGGUUCAAUUUGUUACAAUACUGUCAUUAAACCUGAAUACUAAUUUCUCCACAUAAGCAAACUCUAAACAUUCAAUAUUAACAUCAUGCAACUGAAGUACCUUUAUU
This is a long non-coding RNA of Homo sapiens (human), 899 nucleotides long. RefSeq annotates it as long independently transcribed non-coding RNA 3242. Lineage: Eukaryota; Metazoa; Chordata; Mammalia; Primates; Hominidae. The transcript is spliced from 7 exons. The record is from RefSeq and is a predicted model, not a curated record.